CAGGGCUUCAAGGGACAGUCUUCUCUGCAGACACCAGCCUGGUGUCCUCCUUCAUCCCAGGCUGCCAGGCUAGGCAGGGGACAGCGGCUGCCCUGGUCCUCACAGCCCUGGCUACGGGGCUGGUGACAGCCAGAUCCUCAUGCUUCUGCGACCUGAGCGCUGCCUUCAGACACCUCUCUGCUGGCGUGUUCCUGGGUCCAUGAUGGAAGAAGGAAAAGUAUUUUUAAAAGACAAUCUGAAGCUCAUACUGUGACUGCAACAUAAAAUGUGUUCACCUGAGGAGACUGCUUUCAUCGCCAGUGUGUCACAGAUGGUGGAAACCUCAGAAGGCCACAGUCCAGAGUAGGGGCUUAAUGCAAGCUGCUGGAACUGAAUAAAGAAGGUCUCUGAUGGUUCUGGUUUCCUGGGCACCUAGAAUAAGUGUGUCACCAUUUGUCCUGAAGCUGACUUCUCUGAGCUGGAUGGCACCCUGGACAUCAACCAGCCCUUCACCUUCACGUCACACAGGAGGGACACUGGUCCAUAGAGAGGAUGCCUGCUCUGGUCACCAGCUGGAGAGUGGCAGACCUUGGGUACCUGACCUUUGGACUCUGCCACACAGAGCACUUCCUCAGUCCCUCCUGCUGCCCCUGGCAGGGUGGAGCUGGCAGGGCAGCUGAUCCAGGACCGUCCACUUCCAAGCCAGCAGGAGGAUGGAAAAGCAGAAUGGAGGGGAAACAACCUCCUUUGCAGGGCGUGACUCGGAAGUUGGACACAUCAUUUCCAGCCACAUUCCAUGGACCAGAAUUAGCCCUGUGACCAACUCUGGCUGCCAGAAAAUCUGGGAAAUACAGUCUCUGCUUGGGCGAUCAGGCAGGCAGUUAUAUCUUUGGGAACAUCUCUCACCCCCUGGGAACACCUGAGCAGAAACUGAAGGACAUUUAACAGAUUCUCCUUUGUGUCUAAUAAGAAUUGCCCCCAUCAGUCGGGGCUGUCCUAGGUGCUGGGUACAUAGGUCAUCUAUACACAACCCAGCAAUGGAGAGCACACCAUUCCCAGGCUGCAGAUGCAGAAACUGUGGCUCGGAGAGUUAAGCGUCUUGUUCAGAUUCAGUCAGCUGGUAGAUGGCAGGUCUGGGAUUGAGACCCAGGCCUGGCUGGUCCUGCCAGGACACAGUAUCACAGCUUUGACUGGGAGCUUCUUUUUGUUUACAUAUAUUUUUUAUGCUCAAUGUGCAUUCCUUUUGAAAUACACAGAAAAGGGAAAGAAGCCGGAGUCCUGCCUUGUGUAGGAGGGAUAAGUUAGAGGUGUGCACCGGGAUAAAUCUGCCUCCCGCGCUGGCCCUGGCCCUGGCCCUGGCCCUGGCCCUGGCCCUGAUCCUGCUCCUGAUUCUGGUCCUUGGGGCCUGGGCGGCGAUUCCCGGCGCUGGCUGAGCGUCACCGGCCACCAGAGGGCGCUGCCGGGCUACCGGUCCGGUCGCCCGGGGAUCACAGCCUCAGCGGACAGGAAAUGAUCAACAGCUUCUCCUCUCGGAUCCACGUGGACUCAAGGAAUCUCCGGGGGGCAGGACAGGUGCAGAGCCGAGUGCAAAGGUGGAAUUCUAUUCCCAAAGCACAUCCCGCGCCCCUUUCCUCUGCAAAGUCCCGGAACCGCGUGACUCCGGAUGAGUUAUCGGGGCUGGAACCGAGGGUUCAGCCCCCUGCGCCUCUGUGUGUCCCGGUCCCUUUCCUCCAAGUAGACAGGAGGCAUCUCCUCAUCGGCUCAGUUCACAUUCCUCCAGGGGCUCAAAGGGGACCCAGUCCCUGUCUUGGGACACCAAGUCAGGCAGACUCCAGGAGAGAGGAAGGAAGAUGAUUCCCGCGCUCAGGUGGGCGGGUCCUGCUCCCUCUGUUGAAGACCUGAAGACAAAGAUUGACCCUCACCCUUCACCUCCCACCUCUUCCUCACCUUGGAAAAGAAAAACAUUCCUGAGAGGGGGGAUUUGUCAGCAGAAGGCUUUGGGACUAGAACUGCAGCAUCAGCUCUUCCUGGUUCCCCAGCGCCCAGGCCUACC
This 2032-nucleotide long non-coding RNA is filed under the name Homo sapiens (human). RNAcentral describes it as "non-protein coding SPATA3-AS1:3". Lineage: Eukaryota; Metazoa; Chordata; Mammalia; Primates; Hominidae. The record is from RNAcentral.